Molecule: ribosomal RNA, 253 nt
Filed under: uncultured bacterium
Lineage: Bacteria
Description: partial 16S ribosomal RNA
Rfam family: Bacterial small subunit ribosomal RNA
Source: RNAcentral
AACGUAGGAGGCGAGCGUUAUCCGGAUUUACUGGGCGUAAAGCGCGCGCAGGUGGUUUGGUAAGUUGGAUGUGAAAGCUCCUGGCUUAACUGGGAGAGGUCGUUCAAGACUGCCAAACUUGAGUGUGGGAAAGGAAGGCGGAAUUCCGGGUGUAGUGGUGAAAUGCGUAGAUAUCCGGAGGAACACCAGUGGCGAAAGCGGCCUUCUGGCCCACAACUGACACUCAUGAGCGAAAGCUAGGGGAGCGAACGGG